GAUCAAGGUGUUGGCAGGACUGUGUUUCCCUAUGGAGUUUCUAGGGAAGGAAUUGGAAAUUGUUUCCUUGUCUUUUUCAGCUUCUGGAAGCCCCUCACAUUCCUUGGCUCGUGGCCCCUUCCUCCAUCUUCAAAGACAUCAGUGGCAGUUCCAGGUUGGCGUGGCCCACAAGGAUAUUGUGCCCAAGAUUUAGAAGAUGGAAACGCAGCAGCAGCCUUCUUCUUUUUGCGAGGAAGGUCGUUGCAGGGCUCCAGGUGCUGUUGCAGCUUGCGCACGCUGAGACUCCCCCACUGGCUUGUGCUGCUGGUCAGCAGCUGGGCCACGGCUCCUCCGGUUCCCACAGGAUCACUUCCUUCGGCUUCUGUGGCUCCUAGCCAGGUGCACGCUCAGCCCCUAGACCAAGUGCAGCAAGGGUGGAGGCUUGAAGGCAUUGAGGGAUCAGUGAGGUUGGAGCUCACCCCUGUCCUCACUUCCCUCACUUCUCUCCCCAUGUGCCUGCCCUGCUGACUUCAGAGGCAGAAACAACAGCCUCACAUGGACUAGCUGAUCAGCUCCCACAGCUCACCAUCUGGCUAACCUGUGAACUCACUCACUCAUUCACUCACUAAAUAAAUGGACUUUCAUAAUGAUUUGAUAUAGGGAUAAUAUUUGUUUUAUUAUACUUACUAUAUACAGAAUGGAUGGCUUCUUAUCAUUUAAUCUAUGGUCAUAUGUCACCCCUUAUAAAAAUCUUAUCUCAGUAUCUAAAAUAAAAGCCUCUGCAACCACCCCAUGCCUUCUUACCUGUUUUAUUUUCUUUAUGGCAAGCAUUACCCAUGAGAUAUAUAUUUUCUUUUAGUGUAUUUGGUUACUUGUUUAAUUGGCCCCAUCCUAUUCAUUGCUGUCUCUCCAGUGCUUAGAACACAGCCUGCACAUUCGAAAAGUAAUGAUCAAAUAAAUGUGUUCAAUGUCUCUUUUUGGCCAGGCGCGGUGGCUCACGCCUCUAAUCCUGGCACUUUGGGAGGCCGAGGUGGGCAGAUCACAAGGUCAGGAGUUCGAGAUCAGCCUGGCCAACGUGGUGAAACCCCAUCUCUACUAAAAAUGCAAAACUUAGCUGGGUGUGGUGGCACAUGCCUGUAAUCCCAGCUACUGAGCAGGCUGAGGCAGGAGAAUCACUUGAACCCAGGAGGUGGAGGUUACAGUGAGCUGAGAUCACGCCACUGCACCCCAGCAUGGGCAACAGAACAAGACUUUGUCUCAAAAAAAAGUCUUUUAUUUGGGUGGCUGUCAACAGAUUUCUGAAUACCUAAAUAAACUAAAAUGGUUUCAAUUGCAGAC
Molecule: long non-coding RNA, 1317 nt
Filed under: Papio anubis (olive baboon)
Lineage: Eukaryota; Metazoa; Chordata; Mammalia; Primates; Cercopithecidae
Description: lncRNA (ENSPANG00000040524.1)
Source: RNAcentral